GUGGGGUCAUCUGAUCUUGACUAUCCACUUUUCUUAAUUAUAAAACAGAGAUAAUAUUAAUAUUGCUUCGUAGAGUUGGCCUGAAGAUUAAAUGAGAUGAUUACAUAAAAUGUCUCCUACAGAGCCUGGUACAUCGAAAGAGCUUGGUAGCUGUUGGUGAUGGUUAGAAUAGACAGGAUGUCUGCAGUGGCUACUGCUAUGUUAAUGGAUUCUUCUGGAAAUGUCAAGAUUGAUUAUCCACCCAAGGUAUGGUCCAUAAAUCUGCUCACCACCCAUGCUUCCCCCAGAGAAGCCUAAGAAUAAAAGGAGCUUGAAGAAAGCAGCCCUUGACAGCCUCCAGGAAUGGCUACGCUUUUGUUCCCAGAUCACUUAAAUUUCUAUGGCCCACUUACUGAGUUUCCAACAUUUAUGGAGUCUUUAUCCCUCUGAAAUACUUGGAACGUAGCCAUCACCUUAUUUGCUCAAGAGGCUCAGGACCAAGAAGAAUAAGUCAAGGGGCCUGAAGUUAAAAGGAAGUUGGAACUUUUCUCUGACCUUUUGUGACCUUGAGAUCCACAAAGAAGUGAAACAUUCACUCUCCCAAAAGGAUUUGAACACACAAAGGUGGAGGGAGAUCUCGUCAAGAUGGCGGCGUAAGGAGACUCUGAACUCAUCUUCUCCCAUGAACACAACCACGUUACAACUAUUUUUGGAAAAAUUAUCCUGGAUAGAAAACUGAAAACUGGAUAAAAAGAACCCCCACAACAAGGGUCAGUUCUGACUAAGGCAGAAGGGGCAGAAAUUCCUGCUGGAGAGGAAAAAGCCACCUUUGGGAGCAGCGGAGCUUCUCAGCUGGCCAGGCGGGAGUCACCCUAAGGUACCCAGCCCUCCCUGGAGGAGUGAGGUCCGGAGCGGGGAUGAUACUGCUAUAAGCAUCCUUCAGACUCAACCCAACUGAGACGGGGGUCGUACUGUUGAAGAGUUCAAACAAAAAUCUCAUAAGGAUGCUCACAGAUACUGGGAGAAGACUGGAUCAACACAGUGAGCUCAUCAGCAAAGAACUG
This is a long non-coding RNA of Equus caballus (horse), 1043 nucleotides long. Lineage: Eukaryota; Metazoa; Chordata; Mammalia; Perissodactyla; Equidae. The record is from Ensembl.